UCCUGGCUGGCUCAGUCGGUGGAGUAUGUGACUCCUGAUCUCAGGGUUGUGGGUUUAAGCCCCACGUUGGGAG
Molecule: non-coding RNA, 73 nt
Organism: Leopardus geoffroyi (Geoffroy's cat)
Lineage: Eukaryota; Metazoa; Chordata; Mammalia; Carnivora; Felidae
Source: the annotation of a RefSeq genome assembly